ACGGGAGGCAGCAGUGAGGAAUAUUGGUCAAUGGGCGGAAGCCUGAACCAGCCAAGUCGCGUGAAGGAUGAAGGUAUUAUGUAUUGUAAACUUCUUUAGCUGUGGAGCAAUAAUCGCCAUGCAUGGCGAGAUGAGAGUACACAGAGAAUAAGGAUCGGCUAACUCCGUGCCAGCAGCCGCGGUAAUACGGAGGAUCCGAGCGUUAUCCGGAUUUAUUGGGUUUAAAGGGUGCGCAGGCGGCUUUCUAAGUCAGUGGUUAAAUAGCGGUGCUCAACGCCGUCCCGCCAUUGAUACUGGAGAGCUUGAUUGCGGUCGAGGUUUGCGGAAUUCGUCGUGUAGCGGUGAAAUGCAUAGAUAUGACGAAGAACCCCGAUUGCGAAGGCAGCCUUCUGGAGCAUGAUUGACGCUGAGGCUCGAAAGUGCGGGUAUCGAACAGGAUUAGAUACCCUGGUA
This 453-nucleotide ribosomal RNA is filed under the name uncultured bacterium. RNAcentral's name for it is "partial 16S ribosomal RNA". It matches the Rfam family "Bacterial small subunit ribosomal RNA", at positions 341 to 792 of the family's 1533-position model. The record is from RNAcentral.